UUUGGACAGGCAGCAUAUGCUUUGAACAGAUGUUCCUCACACUAAUAUACCCGGUAUAUAAAUUGUAACUUUGUCACACAACUCCAUUCAUACAAAAAAAAAGAUAAAUUGGAAUUAUUACUACAGCAAUACGAACCACAGAAUGGCUAUGAAGAUUAUUUUGUUUACCCUUGCUGUAACCUUCGCUUACUUGAAUCUUGUAAGUUCAGAAGAAGCAACAUGCUCAACGACUUUCGAAGGUAAAGAAGUUGAGAUUAAAUAUGGAGAUACAGUUUGGCUGAACCCCUGCCUGUUUUGUUGGUGCUAUCAAGACACCAAGGAAGCCGGAUGUAACACUGUAGACUGUCCGACAUGGAGUUGUGAUGGCGGCCUCCAACUGACAUAUCUGGACGGACAAUGUUGUCCAUCUUGUCUUCCAACUGACCAGUGAUUUUAUUUAUGUUAUAAUUGACAAGAUAUUAUGACUGCAUGAAUUUGCAUUAAAAUGUUUCACCUUUUUUCACUUUCAAUAAAAUACUAUAUGAAUGAA
This is a long non-coding RNA of Mytilus trossulus (common blue mussel), 529 nucleotides long. RefSeq lists it as uncharacterized. NCBI's taxonomy places the organism in Eukaryota, Metazoa, Mollusca, Bivalvia, Mytilida, Mytilidae. The transcript is spliced from 2 exons. The record is from RefSeq and is a predicted model, not a curated record.